RNAcentral lists this long non-coding RNA (1008 nucleotides) under Prunus persica (peach). RNAcentral's name for it is "long non-coding RNA (PPER_LNC000487)". The record is from RNAcentral. Lineage: Eukaryota; Viridiplantae; Streptophyta; Magnoliopsida; Rosales; Rosaceae.
AGCCACUCCACCCAUUUGCCAUUAGCCAUGGCAAGGGGGGAGAUAGGGCAGCCACUAUUCACGUGAAUAGUGGUUGCCCUUGCAAAUAGUAUUUUGUGUUUCCACCCAUUGUCAUGGCUAAGGGCAAUUACUAUUCAUUUUUUUGUUUUUUCACAACUUUUUUUUACUUAAAUAAUUAAUUUGGAUAAUAUUUUCGGAUAAGAUUUUUUGGUUCCUACGUGUCAAUACUAUUCAUAUCGGAUAAGAUUUUAUUUUAUUAGUUGUAUUGGUUGGUAUUUAUAGUAAAAAAAAAAGUAUGAGGAUUUGGUGUUAGAAGUGAAGAGUAUUGGUUGGUAUUUAUAGACACGGGCGGACCCAUAAUUUUUUUAGCGGAGGUGCAAUAUUGGCUAAGUAUGAAAAAUGGUUUUUCGGAAUAAUAAUUUUCUCAAGAUAAUUUUUGGCGGCUUUUAUUCCUUACACAUCAAAUAAGAAAACUUGAUUUUAUGGGAUUUUAAUAUGAAGUAUAUAUUGACUUAAUGAGCCAUCAUUUUUAGCCUAAAUCGUAUUUUGCACUAAAACCAAUUUUUCAUAUUUUAAUUUGGUGGAAAUUUGAUUUUCUAGUAUUUUUAUUUGAAUCCAAAUGGGGGGUACAUCCUUAUUUACAUUGUAAACUUAAGUAAAUGGAGUAAUAUAAAAAUAAAUGAAAGUAAGGUAUAGAGAAAAAAAAUUCAGUAAUUUUUUUUAAAGUUUUUACGAUGUUUUUUCAUUUUUUUUAUUGCAGAAAAAUUGGCUGCCGUUGGAUUGAAGGAAAAAAUCAUAUCGGAGAGCCCAGACGCCGACACAUGGAAGCUAGUCGUUGGUGGCUACUGUAGCGCGAGGGUGACGCCAGCGAUGACAUCACCAGUCCUCGGGCUCGCGCUUGGGCCAAACUCCACCCCGGGCCAGCCCAGUCUGGUGGCCCCCACCUCUUGCCCGGGCUGCCUUUUACUGCUGGAAACGCCUUUUUCUCCCAAACCCCCCUCCAGCCCG